This 404-nucleotide ribosomal RNA is filed under the name Fusobacteriota bacterium. Its description in RNAcentral is "Fusobacteria bacterium partial 16S ribosomal RNA". It matches the Rfam family "Bacterial small subunit ribosomal RNA", at positions 355 to 776 of the family's 1533-position model. The record is from RNAcentral. Lineage: Bacteria; Fusobacteriati; Fusobacteriota.
UGGGGAAUAUUGCACAAUGGAGGGAACUCUGAUGCAGCGACGCCGCGUGUGUGAUGAAGGAAUUCGUUUCGUAAAACUCUGCUCUAUGGGAAGAACAGGACUGUACCAUAGUAGAAAGCUCCGGCUAAAUACGUGCCAGCAGCCGCGGUAAUACGUAUGGAGCGAGCGUUGUCCGGAAUUAUUGGGCGUAAAGGGUGCGCAGGCGGCUUUACAAGUUGGAUGUGAAAUAUUGUGGCUCAACCACAAACGUGCAUCCAAAACUGCAAAGCUUGAGUUAAGGAGAGGUAAGUGGAAUUCCUGGUGUAGCGGUGGAAUGCGUAGAUAUCAGGAGGAAUACCGGUGGCGAAAGCGACUUACUGGACUUAAACUGACGCUAAGGCACGAAAGCGUGGAGAGCAAACAGG